RNAcentral lists this ribosomal RNA (253 nucleotides) under uncultured bacterium. RNAcentral describes it as "partial 16S ribosomal RNA". It matches the Rfam family "Bacterial small subunit ribosomal RNA", at positions 524 to 776 of the family's 1533-position model. The record is from RNAcentral.
UACGUAGGGGGCUAGCGUUGUCCGGAUUUAUUGGGCGUAAAGAGCUUGUAGGCGGUUUGUCGCGUCUGCUGUGAAAUUUCGGGGCUCAACCCCGAACUUGCAGUGGGUACGGGCGGACUAGAGUGUGGUAGGGGAGACUGGAAUUCCUGGUGUAGCGGUGAAAUGCGCAGAUAUCAGGAGGAACACCGAUGGCGAAGGCAGGUCUCUGGGCCAUAACUGACGCUGAGAAGCGAAAGCAUGGGGAGCGAACAGG